Molecule: long non-coding RNA, 6086 nt
Filed under: Sorghum bicolor (sorghum)
Lineage: Eukaryota; Viridiplantae; Streptophyta; Magnoliopsida; Poales; Poaceae
Description: long non-coding RNA (SBIC_LNC002369)
Source: RNAcentral
GUGCGGUGCUCGUCGGCGGCAAAGGAGAGGUGUUGGAGCUUGAAGACGCCAGGCCGCACCUUCGCGUGCCCUCAGUUUAACUGAAUAUGGCCCAUGGACAUCUGGCCACGCGUGCCCGUGGUAAUGGCAGCAGCCAUGCCGGCAGCCGCUGCAGCAAGCAGUCCUCCAAUGGUGGUCACGAUUAAAGGAAGGGCUCGGGAGAUUCAGCGCGAGCUGGUGAAGGCGAAGGUGCAUCCGAUUUGGGCGGAGGUGAACCGGACAGGGAAGCUCACGGCAGCCCUGGUGCGGUGGCCAUGGUGGACGGCCGUGGCAAAAGAGGAAGAGCAGGGGCGAGGUUAUAGUCUCCUUCGGAUAAGGACGUCGCGAGAUAGGGCAGGGAUAAGCAAGCAGGCGAGCAGCUACGUGGAGAGGCAUGCAAGGCGCCAGCACGGCCACGGCGGCGUCCGGGAGGUGGAGCUGGCCAGCGGCCAUUGGCCGAGCUACUGUAGCUCGUCCUAAUCUUCCAGAUUCAAAUUCAAAUUACUUUCAAAAUUUGAAUACAACUCAAAUUCCUAUCAAAAUAACAUUUGUUAAGAAUUUUGAACUCUACAAAUCAUAUUUAAUAACCCAAAGCAAAUUUUGAAUAGAGAGGGACGAAUUUAAGCCAAACAAAUUGAAAUUCAAAAAUUCAAUUUGGGGGCAAAACUGGUUUGAAUUGGGGCAGAAUAGAAAUUCUAAAAUUACUUUUGAUUUUUCUCAACAACUUGAAAAACUCCCAAAAUAAACGUUGUUCAUUUUGAGGAGCCCUACAACUUUCAUUUUGAUCACUUUUCAAGAUUCCAAAUAGGUUUUGAAUUAGGGAUUAAAAUUGGAAAAGGGGACAAUUUCUAGAAAUCUGUAUUUUCAAAAUUACUUUCAAUUUUGUAUUGAAACUUCAAAAACUCAAAACACCAAAGUUGUACACCUUGACAAGAUCUACAACUUGGCUUUUGAACUCAUCCCCAAAUUUUGCUUAGUUUUUAAGUUACACAAAAGGGGGUAAAAACUGGGGUUGAAAUUAGGGGUUUUUCUUAGCUGCCUCCCUACAACCCUCCUUAACAAGGGAUUAAACAACCAUCACAAGCAUCACUUCACAAGAUAAACACACUUUAAUUCCCUAAGCACAAUCAACCAAAAUAAACUUAUUUUAAGUUGAUGCAUCAUGAUGUGCUCAACAAAUAUGCUCUGCAAUGCUUAUGAUGACAUGAUCCAGUUUUAGUGUUCGUAACAUCAGGGAUGUUACAGCCCUUCCCCCUUAAAGAAAUCUCGUCCUGAGAUUUCUAGGGUACUAAAACCUGUGGGGUUAAGUAAUGGAAAAGGAAAUGUGUCAAGCACAUUAACUUCUGAGAAGUUCAUAAAACAAUUACAAUUGGUCCGAGAAUUACAACUAAGAUCAACAGAAUGUUGUAAUCAAUAAGAAAUUUUAGAGAAUUCAUAAGAAGAUAUGAAUCACCAAAUGAACUUCCAAGGAGAAUGAAAGCACACUAACAGUAGACUAUAGUGGAGCAUGACCAGAGAUCCCGAUGUUUAACGAGCACCCUGUAGUAUUUCCUUAUGGCUGCAGUCCACAGGAGACUACAAGGUUCGACGCUAUAACGUGAUCACGGAUCAUGGUACUUACUAUAGAGUAUGGUUACAAUAGCUUUUAAUCAACCUAUGUUGGUAUUUAAAGUCAAGGGAAGAACAUGUGUCAGAGUAGAAGUGAUCAAGGUGUGACACAUGCAUGAAUUGAGAAGUCAAGGAGUUAUCUCAGGUCUUCAUAUUUAUGUUGGUGAUCUAUCAAUAUGCAUCCAAAAGUAUCCCCAAGGAUGGGAACUUUGUGGAGCAAGGAUCGUCAAAAAGGAUAUUUAAUUUGGAUGAGACCUGACACAUGACGAGAUUUAUUGAAUAGAACAACUAUAAGGAGAAUAGUUGUCCUGGAUUAAAAAGGGAAUCUAUAACAUCCUUGCAUCAUUAUUUUAGAGUGAAUGAUAUGAUGUAUGCUCGCCCUGUACGUCUUCACAACGUUAGCUAGGAGGUAACUACUUAUAUAGGGCAUACUUUAUACAUUAUCUUUAUCGCUCUGGAUGGAAUGUUGCAAGACUUUUGACAAAGCAUUGUUGGAGUAGUUUGAUUCUUCACUUGGCUUGUUGAAGAAGAAUUGAAGUCCCUUUCAAUGCCUUCUAUUUGAGUCAGCAGACAGUCUUCACAGAACUUGGAUAGCAAGAAUAAGAAAAGUUAAGUAGGAUUUACAAGUCGUUAUCCUCAAAAACUUUUAAUUUCGAAAUUCCUUUUGAAGUUUUCACAAGUAAAGUUGCAGAAGAUCCAUGUAUGAGCUCCGAUACCACUCUGUGGCAGAACCACCCUAAUUAUAUGGCCCACAUGCACUUGACAUUGUCCUUAAGACCUCUGACUACUGCACAUGAGAGUCAUAUAACUUGGAUAGUCUGUCGGGUGCCCUCGGAGGACCCCGAAUCAUCCACAUUUUAACUCAUACAGGAUCAACAUGGAGUUACCACAACAUUACAACAUUUGUUACAAAAAUAACUUACAUCGGAGUGCGAAAGAUUUAUAACUUAAUUUACAACAUAUGAUGAAGUACAAACUUAACUAAAUUUCCAAAAGGUGUGUAGAGUAGUGGAAGCAUCCUAGGUGAACCUUCUAAAGUAGAAGAGGUGGAUAAAUCAUGUUGCGCCCACCGACAUGACCUCCAUUAGCAGCAUAAGUCAGCACCUGCAAUAGGGGUUAUAAAACCCUGAGUACGGGAGUACUCAACAAGACUUACCCGGCGAAAAAAGGGAGAACUUAGGAAUGCAGGCUUAGGGUAGACAAGGAAUGGCUGAGCAAGGAGCCAAAUUGUUUUGCCAAAAAGCUUACUAAUAGUGCAUCCUUACUUUCAAGUUUUACCCACGAAUUCCUCUCCUCAAGAGGUCGAGGAGUUCGAGGACAGUCUAUCUAGUUGCUUCUCACAGACAAGUCUGUAAGUUCCUAGUCCUUAAUUGAAGUAUUAUCUAUCCAACGGCCAUAGCUUCAUGUCACUCUGAGUCCAGAAAUUGGGAUCCGAACCUCAUGAGACAUUUCCCCCUUUCUCAUUUUACCACUUAGUUGCAUAUUUAACUACGAUGAGGGUCGAAGGAAUUGAGUCUCCCAAUCGGGGAGCAACGACGAUUCGAAUCGCUUAGCAAUCCAGCUGGAGUUCCUAACCACCCGACAUAUGUAGAACCAAAUCUUGCAUAUGUCAACCCAAAUCUAGCUCUCCCCAAAUUUGACCAGGUUCGCGGCACCCGAGAGCACAGUACCCCACCAUCCAGCCCAUUUGCCAGGAGGGUACAUGCUACUCUCGUCAUCGCUCCACGCCCAGUGCGCGAGUAGCUGUUCGCGUCGAGGGAUCACAAGACCGGGCUUACCGAGGGCAAGUGGCUAGUACUAUAAAUUUUCAACCCAGGAGGCCAUCAACGGAACGGUCCUUAAUCGACACAGUUGGAGACACUACUUUAAGACUCCAUUCUUAAAGCAAGUCCACCGACCGGUCUCAAGUUAAAACAUCAUUGACCAUAAGUGUAUCCCACAACAACCCUUCAAACUUUGUUUGAAAACCUAUCUAGUAGCAAGGCUAAGCAUCACUACGCAAUUUUAAAAUAAAACAGGUGCCAAGGACAAGAUAACAAAUAUCAAGGUAGAAAAUGCAGCAAGUAGGUUAACCCAGUUCUCAACUACCUAAUGCAGCAUUUUCAAUUCAUAAGUGAUAGAAGAUUUAAAACAUUCAAGGAUGGGUUAAUGCAUGCGAGGCUUGCCUUGGUUGCAGAGCUGAGAGGGUUCCUCGGAGACUUUCCAAGUCUCGGAUCCUACUUCUUCGAACGGAGCACCGACCUCGGGGUUCGGUUCAACGGUCGCUCCUUCGGUCACGUGCACUAUACGCAAAAUGAUGGAUGCUCAUGAUAUGCAUAUGACCAAUAUUUAAGAAGGACCGAGUUAAGUACAACUUUCCUUCUCGGUGCAAAACAAGCUAAACAGUAAUUAGAGUUGUUUAUCAUUUUAGUGUUUUUACCCAAGAGGUUGCAUCAGAAAAAUUAAUAUUUUUCCUAAUUCAUAAUCAUUCUUAAUUAACUAAUUAUUAACCCUUUUUAUCUAAAUUAAUUCUUAAUUAAGUAUUAGUGACAGUAAUUAAGUAUUAAUACCAAACAAUAAUUAAAUGCCAAAGGUCAUUAAGAUUAAUGACCUCAGGUCAUCACACAAUUCCAAAAUCACUCAAAUUCUAAUUUGGAAAUUAAGCUACUCAUUAUUUAAGUAAAGGCUAGCUAAAAACAAUCAACUCUAUUUGCACACAUAACCAGGACAGCAGCAUAUACACAACUUCAUUUCAACCAUAAUUAGAGAUCCAAGCAUCCAAUAAAGGUGAUAUUAGACUUUAUGGAAAGAUUAGAUAAUUUUCUACAACUUUGUUAUUAUCUUCCAGAACUGAUUUAAUAGAUAAGAUGGCCAAAUAGCAUGAAGAAACAAUCCUGUCCAGAUAUUGGACAGAGUCAGACAUUAAGCUUUAAACAUCUAUAAUCAGAGUUAUAGAUCACCAAAAGUCAUGAUUCAUAACAUUUUGGAAAGCUUAUGAAAAUUUCUACAAUUUAUCUUUCAUCAUCAAAGCAUGAUUCACAAGUUUAGUAGGUCGAAAUUGCACAACUACAAAAACUGAUCUAGGAUUUGACAGAUAGGAACUAUUUCUGAAACUUAAAUUUAAACAGGCAUAACUCAGAAACUAUAGGGUCAAAUACCACCAAAAUUUAACACCAGGUAGAUACAUGAAUUAUAUACAACUUUGUUAUAGACAAGUUUCACAUCCAACAUUAUCUACCUAGAGCAAUUCAUAAUGUUCCAAAAACUAUCGAGAAACCACUAACAAUUGAAUUACAGAGAAAUAACAUUUUUAUGUUCCAAACUUGAACCUGGGCAAAACCCAGCUCACCAAUAGUUGAAAUACAUCAAAGAGAUACUAGAAAACAUCAUGGCCAUCCCUAAAUAAAUACCUUUCAUGUCUUUAUUAAUUUAUUUAGAUAAAUAGACAAAGUAAUAACCAUAUAUCAAAACUACACAGUAAAUUCUGAGAAAACUACAGAAGCUCAUAUAUGCUCUCCAAAGUCUAUUGUAUAAAUUUCAUGCCAUUUGGAUAAGUAUAGCAAUUUCCAUGAAAAAGAUAAAUUUCCAUCACAAGGAAGCAUGUAACAACAAGAUAAAUAAGAAACUCGAUAUUUUCUACAAACACAUAGCUAAAUUAUGUAUCUAUAUGAUAUAACAACCUCAUAUAAAGGUACAGAAACCAUAUUUUAUAUUUAUUAAUUUUUAGUUUAAUUAUAGACAAUUUAAUAAGCACUAAACAAGAUAAAAUAAUAACUUAACCAUAUAUCAUCCACUAAACAUGAAAUUUUUACUGCAACACUCACAUAACAUCAUGAGAACACCAUAAAAAUUUCAGACCCAUAGGAGCUACACAGAAUGAGAUAUGAAUUUCUCCUUUUUAAACAUAAUUAAAAGACACAAAUCAUAACUAAUUAUUUUAUUACAAAACAUGGCCUGUUUCAUAUUUUUAAUAAAAACUAGAUAUCUCAAGGAGCACAACAAAAUUUGGUUCACCGAAAUUGGAGUUACCAAACUCUAGAUAUGAAUUUUCAAAGAUUCAACAAAACAUCUACAAACAAGUCCUUAUAGCACUAUUCACCUGAGUCACAGUCUGUGCAAUUAGACCCCUGGAGAACUUCAAAUUGUCGCGCGAAGUCCCUGGUCGCGAACUGGAAACAGGGGAACUCGCCGGAGAUCGUGGUUUCGGCCGUGCGGUGCUCGUCGGCGGCAAAGGAGAGGUGUUGGAGCUUGAAGACGCCAGGCCGCACCUUCGCGUGCCCUCAGUUUAACUGAAUAUGGCCCAUGGCCAUCUGGCCACGCGUGCCCGUGGUAAUGGCAGCAGCCAUGCCGGCAGCCGCUGCAGCAAGCAGUCCUCCAAUGGUGGUCACGAUUAAAGGAAGGGCUCGGGAGAUUCAGCGCGAGCUGGAGAAGGCAAAGGUGCAUCCGAUUUGGGCGGAGGUGAAUCGGACAGGGAAGCUCAC